RNAcentral lists this transfer RNA (84 nucleotides) under Methylomonas methanica MC09. It matches the Rfam family "tRNA". From Rfam's summary of the family: Transfer RNA (tRNA) molecules are approximately 80 nucleotides in length. Their secondary structure includes four short double-helical elements and three loops (D, anti-codon, and T loops). The record is from Rfam by way of RNAcentral. Lineage: Bacteria; Pseudomonadati; Pseudomonadota; Gammaproteobacteria; Methylococcales; Methylococcaceae.
GCCUCGGUGGCGAAAUAGGUAGACGCACGGGACUUAAAAUCCCGCGGUGGUGACACCGUACCGGUUCGAUUCCGGUCUGAGGCA